AUUGAACGCUGGCGGCAGGCCUAACACAUGCAAGUCGAACGGUAACAGGAAGCAGCUUGCUGCUUUGCUGACGAGUGGCGGACGGGUGAGUAAUGUCUGGGAAACUGCCUGAUGGAGGGGGAUAACUACUGGAAACGGUAGCUAAUACCGCAUAACGUCGCAAGACCAAAGAGGGGGACCUUCGGGCCUCUUGCCAUCGGAUGUGCCCAGAUGGGAUUAGCUAGUAGGUGGGGUAACGGCUCACCUAGGCGACGAUCCCUAGCUGGGCUGAGAGGAUGACCAGGCACACUGGAACUGAGACACGGGCCAGACCCCCACGGGAGGCAGGAGUGGGGAAUAUUGCACAAUGGGGCGAAGCCUGAUGCAGCCAUGCCGGGUGUAUGAAGAAGGCCUUCGGGUUGUAAAAUACUUUCAGCCGGGAGGAAGGGAGGAAAGUUUAUACCUUUGCUCAUUGACGUUACCCGCAGAAGAAGCACCGGCUAACUCCGUG
Molecule: ribosomal RNA, 490 nt
Filed under: uncultured bacterium
Lineage: Bacteria
Description: partial 16S ribosomal RNA
Rfam family: Bacterial small subunit ribosomal RNA
Source: RNAcentral